UAAAACAAAGUAAAUAUUCAUAAGGUUAAUUUUGAUAUUUCAAAUUGUGUAGGGGUAUUUAUUAUAACCGGGAACUUUUCAAGGGUAUGAAUAAAAUUGUCUCUCUAAAAAAACAGUGAAGAAAGGGUAAUGAUAAUUUCAUAUUUUUAAAGUAAAGAAAAAAAAUGCUGAGUUAACGAAAGUUAGCAAAAAAAAGUAACGGUAAGGGUAUUUAUGAAAGAUAUAUUGUAUUUAGAGGGUAUUGGUGAAAUUUUAAAAGUUUAAAAGGUAUUUAUGAUAUUUCAUAGUUUUGCGAAAGUAUAGAUAAAAUUAACCCAAAAAUAUAAUAAUAUUUAAUAAAAUAUUUUUAAUAUUGGAAAUUUUCAAACUCUACCUUUAUAUAAAUUUAUUGAAGAAUUCGCAAAAUACUCUAGAUAUAAAAUAUAUCUUAUUUAUUUCUAAAAAUUAUUUGUUUAAAAAUAUC
This 463-nucleotide long non-coding RNA is filed under the name Ananas comosus (pineapple). RNAcentral describes it as "long non-coding RNA (ACOM_LNC005395)". The record is from RNAcentral. Lineage: Eukaryota; Viridiplantae; Streptophyta; Magnoliopsida; Poales; Bromeliaceae.